Corapipo altera (White-ruffed manakin) is the source of this 288-nucleotide long non-coding RNA. RefSeq lists it as uncharacterized. NCBI's taxonomy places the organism in Eukaryota, Metazoa, Chordata, Aves, Passeriformes, Pipridae. The transcript is spliced from 2 exons. The record is from RefSeq and is a predicted model, not a curated record.
UCCCCAGUGACUCCCAGGGGUUCCCAGUGCCCCCCAGUGCCCCCAGUAUCCCCCCCUCCCCAGAGCAUGCGGCUCAAGCUCAUCGCCAGCAAUUCCACGAUGGAGCGGCGCUUCAGCCCCUGGAUCGGGGGCUCCAUCCUGGCCUCGCUCGGCACCUUCCAGCAGAUGUGGAUCUCCAAGCAGGAGUACGAGGAGGGCGGGAAGCAGUGCGUGGAGAGGAAGUGUCCCUGAGGGAAAAGGGGGGGGGAAAAAUGGGGGGAAAAUCAAUUAAAAAAUCAGUGAAAUCCA